UUCAAGAACAACUAAGAGGAUGUUAAAGGACAGCAGAGGGAGCCCCUGCAUGACUUAAGAAAACCGAAGGCAGGCAGAACAGAGACUUUUCAGGGUGCGAAGUUACGCAUGGUGCCCUCUACUGGAGUCACUGGUAAAGAGUUUUGAUUUCAAAAAGAAAUUGACGUAGAAUUUGUUCUUGUUCCAUUGUAUUGGUGAAGAAACUGAAGUUCAAAGUAAUUGGCAGAACAUACUACUUUGGGCAGUAUGGGAGUAGAGGCCUAUGGACGACCAGCAACAGAUUCUUAACAUUUGAGUCCAUUGAUAUAUUCGAAGCUCUACCCUUCUGGAAAAUAUCAUAAGAUUUGAAAAAUAUAGCUGCAAAGAGCAAAAGAAGAUUUGCGUCUCAAUAGAAAAGAUCUACAGAUUGAAUAUUGCAUAGAAAACAAUUUAUUCACCUUACAAAGAUAAAAGGAUGAAAACGCCCUGAGCAGUAAUAAAACUUCGCCAUUUUGGGGAGGGCCUCAAGAGGCUAUCUUAUCAAUCUUGGUCGUUGGAAAAGUAUCUGUAAUCUCAAAGAAAACUUUAAAUACUGUCCAAGGAAAAUAUCCAAAUACAUCUUAAAAUGCCA
This 610-nucleotide long non-coding RNA is filed under the name Homo sapiens (human). RNAcentral's name for it is "non-protein coding lnc-FAM241A-2:1". Lineage: Eukaryota; Metazoa; Chordata; Mammalia; Primates; Hominidae. The record is from RNAcentral.